UAAUACGUAGGGUCCGAGCGUUGUCCGGAGUUACUGGGCGUAAAGCGCGCGCAGGCGGCGGUGCUGGCCCGGCGUGAAAGCCCCCGGCUCAACCGGGGAGGGUCGUCGGGGACCGCACCGCUUGAGGGCGGUAGGGGCUGGUGGAAUGCCUGGUGUAGUGGUGAAAUGCGUAGAGAUCAGGCGGAACACCCGUGGCGAAGGCGGCCAGCUGGGCCGUCCCUGACGCUGAGGCGCGAAGGCGUGGGGAGCGAACGGGAUUAGAUACCCCGGUAGUCCUGGCCCUAAACGAUGAAUGCUUGGUGUGGCGGGUAUCGAUCCCUGCCGUGCCGAAGCUAACGCAUUAAGCAUUCCGCCUGGGGAGUACGGUCGCAAGGCUG
This 377-nucleotide ribosomal RNA is filed under the name uncultured bacterium. Its description in RNAcentral is "bacterial SSU rRNA". It matches the Rfam family "Bacterial small subunit ribosomal RNA", at positions 521 to 896 of the family's 1533-position model. The record is from RNAcentral.